RNAcentral lists this ribosomal RNA (1412 nucleotides) under Mycobacterium sp. Ellin151. Its description in RNAcentral is "16S ribosomal RNA". It matches the Rfam family "Bacterial small subunit ribosomal RNA". The record is from RNAcentral. Lineage: Bacteria; Bacillati; Actinomycetota; Actinomycetes; Mycobacteriales; Mycobacteriaceae.
GACGAACGCUGGCGGCGUGCUUAACACAUGCAAGUCGAACGGAAAGGCCCUUCGGGGUACUCGAGUGGCGAACGGGUGAGUAACACGUGGGUGAUCUGCCCUGCACUUUGGGAUAAGCCUGGGAAACUGGGUCUAAUACCGAAUAUGAUCACGGGCUUCAUGGUCUGUGGUGGAAAGCUUUUGCGGUGUGGGAUGGGCCCGCGGCCUAUCAGCUUGUUGGUGGGGUAAUGGCCUACCAAGGCGACGACGGGUAGCCGGCCUGAGAGGGUGACCGGCCACACUGGGACUGAGAUACGGCCCAGACUCCUACGGGAGGCAGCAGUGGGGAAUAUUGCACAAUGGGCGCAAGCCUGAUGCAGCGACGCCGCGUGAGGGAUGACGGCCUUCGGGUUGUAAACCUCUUUCAAUAGGGACGAAGCGCAAGUGACGGUACCUAUAGAAGAAGGACCGGCCAACUACGGUGCCAGCAGCCGCGGUAAUACGUAGGGUCCGAGCGUUGUCCGGAAUUACUGGGCGUAAAGAGCUCGUAGGUGGUUUGUCGCGUUGUUCGUGAAAACUCACAGCUUAACUGUGGGCGUGCGGGCGAUACGGGCAGACUUGAGUACUGCAGGGGAGACUGGAAUUCCUGGUGUAGCGGUGGAAUGCGCAGAUAUCAGGAGGAACACCGGUGGCGAAGGCGGGUCUCUGGGCAGUAACUGACGCUGAGGAGCGAAAGCGUGGGGAGCGAACAGGAUUAGAUACCCUGGUAGUCCACGCCGUAAACGGUGGGUACUAGGUGUGGGUUUCCUUCCUUGGGAUCCGUGCCGUAGCUAACGCAUUAAGUACCCCGCCUGGGGAGUACGGCCGCAAGGCUAAAACUCAAAGAAAUUGACGGGGGCCCGCACAAGCGGCGGAGCAUGUGGAUUAAUUCGAUGCAACGCGAAGAACCUUACCUGGGUUUGACAUGCACAGGACGUGCCUAGAGAUAGGUAUUCCCUUGUGGUCUGUGUGCAGGUGGUGCAUGGCUGUCGUCAGCUCGUGUCGUGAGAUGUUGGGUUAAGUCCCGCAACGAGCGCAACCCUCGUCCUAUGUUGCCAGCGGGUUAUGCCGGGGACUCGUAGGAGACUGCCGGGGUCAACUCGGAGGAAGGUGGGGAUGACGUCAAGUCAUCAUGCCCCUUAUGUCCAGGGCUUCACACAUGCUACAAUGGCCGGUACAAAGGGCUGCGAUGCCGUGAGGUGGAGCGAAUCCUUGUAAAGCCGGUCUCAGUUCGGAUCGGGGUCUGCAACUCGACCCCGUGAAGUCGGAGUCGCUAGUAAUCGCAGAUCAGCAACGCUGCGGUGAAUACGUUCCCGGGCCUUGUACACACCGCCCGUCACGUCAUGAAAGUCGGUAACACCCGAAGCCGGUGGCCUAACCCCUUGUGGGAGGGA